This 333-nucleotide ribosomal RNA is filed under the name uncultured Bacillota bacterium. Its description in RNAcentral is "bacterial SSU rRNA". It matches the Rfam family "Bacterial small subunit ribosomal RNA", at positions 28 to 351 of the family's 1533-position model. The record is from RNAcentral. Lineage: Bacteria; Bacillati; Bacillota.
GACGAACGCUGGCGGCGUGCCUAACACAUGCAAGUCGAGCGGAGAUAAUUAAAAGCUUGCUUUUGAUUAUCUUAGCGGCGGACGGGUGAGUAACGCGUGGGCAACCUGCCUUUCACAGGGGGGAUAACACAGGGAAACUUGUGCUAAUACCGCAUAACACAUCGAGGUAGCAUUACCUUGCUGUCAAAGGAGCAAUCCGGUGAUAGAUGGGCCCGCGUCCAAUUAGCUAGUUGGUGAUGUAACGGAUCACCAAGGCGACGAUUGGUAGCCGAACUGAGAGGUUGAUCGGCCACAUUGGGACUGAGACACGGCCCAGACUCCUACGGGAGGCAG